Molecule: non-coding RNA, 30 nt
Filed under: Homo sapiens (human)
Lineage: Eukaryota; Metazoa; Chordata; Mammalia; Primates; Hominidae
Source: RNAcentral
UGCCAAACAGGAUGGACAUAGAUUGUUAGU